ACGCUGCCUGGAGCCGCGGCGCCGGCGGUCUGAGCUGGGCGAUCUCGGGCCCCGGCGUGGCGGGCAGGGUGGGGCGCGCGCCGCGGGAGCGAGCCUGGCCUCCCCCCAGGCCGCGGAGACUGUUGCCGGGCGCCGAGGUUCCCAAUAAGGCUGCACGGAGGACCCCCUUGACCGUGGCAAUGGAGGGGGGCCCAGCGGUCUGCUGCCAGGAUCCCCGGGCAGAGCUGGUGGAGCGAGUGGCAGCCAUCGAUGUGGCCCGCUUGGAGGAGGCAGAUGGUGGCCCGGGGCCUGCCAGGAACGGCGUGGAACCCCCACCACGGGCCAGAGCUGCCUCCAUGAUCCCCGGAAGUGCUUCAGGACUCCCCCUACCCCGACCCAGCCUCUCCACCAGGAAGCUGUCCCUGCAGGAGCGGCCAGCAGGAAGCUGCCUGGAGGCCCAGGCUGGGCCUUACACCACGGGGCCUGCCAGCCACAUCUCUCCCCGGGCCUGGCGGAGGCCCACCAUCGAGUCCCACCGCGUGGCCAUCUCAGAUGCAGAGGACUGUGUGCAGUUGAACCAGUACAAGCUGCAGAGUGAGAUUGGCAAGGGUGCCUACGGCGUGGUGAGGCUGGCCUACAAUGAAAGUGAAGACAGGCACUAUGCAAUGAAAGUCCUUUCCAAAAAGAAGUUACUGAAGCAGUAUGGCUUUCCACGUCGCCCUCCCCCGAGAGGGUCCCAGGCUGCCCAGGGAGGACCAGCCAAGCAGCUGCUGCCCCUGGACCGGGUGUACCAGGAGAUCGCCAUCCUGAAGAAGCUGGACCACGUGAAUGUGGUGAAGCUGAUCGAGGUCCUGGAUGACCCAGCUGAGGACAAUCUCUAUUUGGUGUUUGACCUCCUGAGAAAGGGGCCGGUCAUGGAGGUGCCCUGCGACAAGCCCUUCCCGGAGGAGCAAGCUCGCCUCUACCUGAGGGACAUCAUCCUGGGCCUUGAGUACUUGCACUGCCAGAAGAUCGUCCACAGGGACAUCAAGCCAUCCAACCUGCUCCUGGGGGACGACGGGCACGUGAAGAUCGCCGACUUCGGCGUCAGCAACCAGUUUGAGGGGAACGACGCCCAGCUGUCCAGCACGGCCGGCACCCCGGCGUUCAUGGCCCCCGAGGCCAUCUCCGACACCGGCCAGAGCUUCAGUGGGAAGGCCUUGGAUGUGUGGGCCACGGGGGUCACGCUGUACUGCUUUGUCUAUGGGAAGUGCCCGUUCAUCGAUGACUACAUCCUGGCCCUGCACAGGAAGAUCAAGAAUGAGGACGUGGUGUUUCCUGAGGAGCCAAAGGUCAGCGAGGAGCUCAAGGACCUGAUCCUGAAGAUGCUAGACAAGAAUCCCGAAAGGAGAAUUGGGGUGCCAGACAUCAAGCUGCACCCGUGGGUGACCAGGAACGGGGAGGAGCCCCUUCCCUCAGAGGAGGAGCACUGCAGCGUGGUGGAGGUGACCGAGGAGGAGGUGAAGAACUCCGUCAAGCUCAUCCCCAGCUGGACCACAGUGAUCCUGGUGAAGUCUAUGCUGAGAAAGCGUUCCUUUGGGAACCCGUUUGAGCCCCAAGCACGGAAGGAAGAGCGCUCCAUGUCUGUCCCAGGAAACUUACUGCUGGGGGGAAUCAGAUACUGGAAGCUGUUGAACGUGUGACAUCAUCCCAAGAUCGACGGGUUACUCUACUUGCACAAGACGAAGAAAAUGUAAAACCAAAGCCCCUCUGCUCAGGACUGUGGAGGCUGAUCUGGGCCUACGUGGAAGGCCUGCGAGGGCGCAGGGAGGUCAGCCAAGUCAGAUCGUGUGAGGCUCCAGACUUCAUCUCUGGGCAGUAGGGAGCCAUGGAGUGUUGUAAGCCAAGAUUUGGGGUAGGGAGACCAGCAAGGAGCCACGACGCAGGAAGGAAAGACGGGUGUGGUGAAGGCAUCAAGAGCCCGGAGCUCCCUGGUGUCCAAGAAGACGAGGCUGCGUCCUGAGCCCCUGCAUGCGCCCAGGGCCACCCAGCAACACGCUCAUCCUGCGCCUCCAAAGGCCCCUGCACUCAUGCCGACAGCCGCCCCUGCGGGCAGGGGGCUGGGGACUGUGGACCCUCUCCUGGCUCCCCUCCCCCCGUCAUGCUGCAUGACCUCUGCGCGUGUCCAAGACAGGAUUGGAAUGUGUGUCAUCUGGGGUUUGGUGGGCAGGGCUCCCUCGAGCCUUUCUCCUCGUCUUGGCUCUCCCCGUGGAACCCACAUUGUGGGGAAGGUAGGUACGCUCGGUGCCUUAGGAACCCCACAUGGCUCGUCGGCAAGGCCCAGGGGCAGGAGGCAAGAAACCAUGAUGGCAGGAGGAGGCCUGGCUUACCACCACUGCAGAGACCUCCCGCCGGGGCUGGGCAGGCCGGGCUCAGCUGCCACACACAUGGAGGGGUGUACCCUGCCACCUUGGGGGGGCGCUGCCAGAGCUUGAGUCUGCUGAGAACACUGGUAUGGAGUCUCUGAGUCUUUGAUGGGUGUUCCAGGGCCUCACUGGGGCAGGGGCCAGUAUUGGAGAAUUCAGAUUCUCGUCCUGUUGUCUUUUACUUUUGUUUUUUACAUGGGGGCAAGGGGCUAUAAAGACCUGCUUGGGAACAGCACAUGACCUCUCCAAAGCUGUGGGCGGUUCCUAGUGCACCCCACCCUUACGUGCAGCCAGGUGAGCUGAACUGACCUUGCCGGAUUGUGUUUCACACCCAGCACUAGCCAGAGAAAGGGCUGAAUUCAACUCUCAGCAGAGACCUGAGCCAGGAGCACCACGUCUUCCCUGCCCGCAUCACUCCCUCUGUGGCUCCUCAGAGCCAUGGCGGCAGGAGAGGCACUAGGGGCCGACAUGGCCUGAGAGCCCUGGACUCACAGGGCUGUGGCCUUGCAGAUGCUGAAGUAACUGGAACCCAGUCUCCAAUCCUACACCGGCCUCCCCCUCUGGCCCCAGAAGCUGCCCUCACAUUCCUACGCUGAAGGACAAACUGCCCACGGUGAAGGCCGCCCUAGAGUGGGGCCUUGGUGGGGCGUGCAUGCUGGCAGGCGGCCAUGGAGCGGCAGGCCUUCCGCCACUGCCUCGCCCCAGGCCAGUCCCCAUCCAGCCUGCCCCGAGCUGGAGGGCUGGACUGUGUGUGUUGAUCGGCCAGGCUGGGGCAGACAUCUCUCUGGGACUCUGAUGGCGUGGUGUUCGCUGACCAAAUGCUCAAGAGAUUGGCCUCCAAAGGACAGCAAAGCAGGACUCAUCAGAUACCUCCCCUGAAAAUGUGGGCCAAACAAGCGGGUACAGUGGCGGGCAUGGGCCUCAUCUCACAAGAGGACUUGUGCCGAGAAGGGAGGGAGGCCGGGCCGGAGGAGGGUCCCCCCUGCGCAUCUCCGUGCCUGUGGGUGUCCGUCGCGCCUCCCCACACACGCAUGUGCGUGCCCAUCCGCUGCACAGCACACUCGCAUGUCUUGCACUGGCACAUGCAUCUGUAAUAUAGUUUCUAUGUCUAUUUAAGACUGUGAGCAGCACGUGGCCCGUCAUCAUUGGGUCCACGUUUCUCCCUGGCUCCUCUCCGCUAAGCCAUUGUAACCAGGGCUUAGGAAACAGUUCGGCACUGUUUUUAAGAACACUGUCAUAGAGUUCGUGGGAGGCCGGUCACCGACCCGCCAGCUUUUGUUGAGCAUCUCUGCGCUGGGGCCUGGCGGGUGGGGCCUCAAGGGGGCGACGUCCAUCGGACUUGCCCUCGCAGAGCUCCAAGGUGAGCCUGGCUUCGUUGGCCAGGUCACAGCCUGGAUGGCGCGCUGACCCCGCCGCCGUGGGUUUGGGUUGGCAUCGUUUUCAAACGUAGCACAAGUGAUGAAUAAACUCCAUAAGAGUGUUUUAAAAAUUAACUUCUCAGGAAGUGAGUUAAAAACAUUAAAAGCCCUUUCUUGAGUUAAAACAACA
RNA transcript from Myotis myotis, 3932 nucleotides. It is a transcript of the gene named calcium/calmodulin dependent protein kinase kinase 1, with no coding region annotated. The transcript has 17 exons. The record is from RefSeq and is a predicted model, not a curated record. Lineage: Eukaryota; Metazoa; Chordata; Mammalia; Chiroptera; Vespertilionidae.